CUCACUGUCUGAGCUGAAGAAUC
Molecule: non-coding RNA, 23 nt
Filed under: Cricetulus griseus (Chinese hamster)
Lineage: Eukaryota; Metazoa; Chordata; Mammalia; Rodentia; Cricetidae
Source: RNAcentral